This is a ribosomal RNA of Desulfuribacillus alkaliarsenatis, 200 nucleotides long. It matches the Rfam family "Bacterial small subunit ribosomal RNA", at positions 1336 to 1533 of the family's 1533-position model. Lineage: Bacteria; Bacillati; Bacillota; Desulfuribacillia; Desulfuribacillales; Desulfuribacillaceae. The record is from Rfam.
UAGUAAUCGCGGAUCAGAAUGCCGCGGUGAAUACGUUCCCGGGCCUUGUACACACCGCCCGUCACACCACGAGAGUUUGUAACACCCGAAGCCGGUGGGGUAACCCGUAAGGGAGCUAGCCGUCGAAGGUGGGACAGAUGAUUGGGGUGAAGUCGUAACAAGGUAGCCGUAUCGGAAGGUGCGGCUGGAUCACCUCCUUU